CAAAAUAUACCAGAUCUGGUCUCUCUUCGUCUGAUUUUCCUAAAUCGAAAUUGAAGCUAACAGCGAAAUUGGGAGGUUUUCUUUCACUCACGUUAGAAAGGUAAGGUCUAAAUCGCUAAAAAUUUGACGAUUUUUACGAAUUAUAAAUUUAUUUGAGAUUUUCUUUGACGAAACUAGUACAUUUUUUUUUGGUACAACGAAAUUGGUCUGUUUUUUUUAAGCCAAUGUAAUUGGGUACGAAUUUGAUGCAUUCUUUGGAUUUUUUUGAAUUCCACAAACCGUAACAAUAGAUGCUUGGAUUUUUUUGAAGUAAUGAGUCAUGAAAUACAUGGCUGCCUCUUAAGAUCUUCAGUUCAAGGAAAAGUAAAAUGAUUCAUGGAAAAGUAAAAUGAUUUUUUUGAACUAAUGAGUCAUGGAUGCUUGGAUUUUUUUGUAUUUCACUCGCUAAGUUUAUAAAUGAUGCUAAACCAAUAUGUCAAAACAUUAUUUAGUGGACAUCAGGAUAUCAUUCACAUGGCACUUUUAUGUAACUUUUAGAUAAAUUCUGUCCAUUUGGAAAAGGCAUUUGUAUAGGAUAUAACAGAAAUCAUGCUUCAAACAAAUUCUUUGAAAACAAGGUUCAAAUUGUGAUAUUUUUUGGGUGUUCUCUAUGUUAGCAGGCAGGCGUAUCAUGUUAACAUUCUAAUAUUGAUAAUUAUGCUCUGUUCUCUUUUUUUUAUUGUCUGGCUGCUACCAAAUAUUUGACUUGGAUCGAUGUAUUUUGUGCCAAGGAUUUAAUUAUUCUCUAAAACUGUUAUUGUUCCAAUUCACUUUGCUAUCCUAUUGGUGAAUUUAGUGUUCAUCCUAUGCUUAACUGUUAUUGUUCCAAUCCACUUUGCUUCUUUGCUUUUCUGCCCCUUUGCUUAAGUGUUUAUCCUAUGGUGAAUUUAGUGUUCAUCCUAUGCUUAACUGUUAUUGUUCCAAUGCUUAACUGUUAUUGUUCAUUUAACUGCUGCUGUUGCAUUUAACCAUUUGUGUAUAAUGUUUAACUAUUUUUGUUCAUGUGUAAUGAUAUGUGGGUUACCAACUGUGGAAUGUAUCUAAAACAUUGCAAUCUUAUGGUGGUUUUGACAGAUAAGGUUCAACAAAGGCAUGUCUACUUCAAGUAACAUGAGCAUUCAAACUCAUGAUAUACGAUUUCGAAACAAAAUGUGUUACUGUCGUCUGAGAGCUGCUGUGAAAAUAUCUGAAUCAGAGAAGAAUCCUGGAAGGCUCUACUAUGACUGUCCAAGGGAGAAGGACAAAG
This 1285-nucleotide long non-coding RNA is filed under the name Panax ginseng (ginseng). RNAcentral's name for it is "long non-coding RNA (PGIN_LNC018727)". The record is from RNAcentral. Lineage: Eukaryota; Viridiplantae; Streptophyta; Magnoliopsida; Apiales; Araliaceae.